AGGUUAAGCCCGAUGAACCUGAAUAUCCAUUAUGAGAAAUUCAUCAUUAUACCAGGUAAUAUUAAUUUAUUAAUAUUAUUUGUGAUAGUGUGCAUUUUUUUCAUAUAAGGACAUUGUGAUCUAUUAACAUAAUAAAAAUAUUUAUCAAAAGAUCAUUAGCUUAAGUUUAUUUGAAUUAAUUUGCUAUAAGCAUAUUAACAUAAAAUAAAUGCAAAUGAUUUGAUAAAGUGUUGAUAGAUUUAUUAUAUAUAAUGCUUAAAUUUAUUGAAAUUUUACAAUAAUAUUA
RNAcentral lists this ribosomal RNA (286 nucleotides) under Pelmatops fukienensis. RNAcentral's name for it is "partial 28S ribosomal RNA". The record is from RNAcentral. Lineage: Eukaryota; Metazoa; Arthropoda; Insecta; Diptera; Tephritidae.